Gallus gallus (chicken) is the source of this 960-nucleotide long non-coding RNA. RefSeq lists it as uncharacterized. The record is from RefSeq and is a predicted model, not a curated record. Lineage: Eukaryota; Metazoa; Chordata; Aves; Galliformes; Phasianidae. The transcript is spliced from 3 exons.
UGUUGUAAAGCUUGCUCCUUUUGGUGGCUGUCCUCCCCCUGUCCCAGGUCCUGUCAGCUGGAAUAGACAGAGCCAUUAUCUCCCCUGGCGUGAUGUCCCCUGAAAGGUAGAAGGAAACUGUGAAGGCAAAUGGGACAUCAAAAAGGCAGUAUCAGCUGUUAGAUGUGCCCAGCUCUUCAAACACCAUUACCGGGGACUUCGUGAGAGCCUCUUCACGCAACGUGACAGCUCAGGAACACAAACCAGACUUCAGGGAUGAUCACUUCUGUGAAAGAGCCACGUGGACGGUGCCAGUUCCAGCUGGCAUCUUAGGGAUCACUUUGGUCCCUUCUCUAUCCGGAAGAAAUGGUCACACACACGUACAUGAGGUGGUUUUGUGACUGAAGUCACCUCUAAAGAACUGGGAAGGGUUUGUAGACCUCUGCACAAAACUGCACUCGUCGCCAAGCUGCUGUGCUGCUGUGGGCUCCUCCUCUGCAGUGUUUGAUGGUCUUUUGUGGUUACAAAGAUCACAAAGAUCCACUGACAGCAACUGCCCUAUGCAGAAGGAUACUGAUCAGUCCUUGAAUGAGAAAGCAGUCUGGAAGAAGUCACCAGUAGGAGCCUUGGAUACUCAACACUGGCAAUUAACAAUAAACAAGUAAACUGGGGACCUCCAUUCAUUCCCUUGUGGUCCACUUUGAAUUUGCUUUACUAGCAGAGGGCAUGAGGGCAAGACCAAAGAUAGAAAUGAAGAAUAGUAAUCCCUCCCCACCUCUCUGAGCCACACUGCUAAAAUGACAGAAAGGAACCACUUAUGACAUUAAACUACAAGCCAUUUGGAUAACUGCUGCAUGGCAUCCCCUAAGUAUUAUGGUCCCGGUGGUACUCUAAUUGUGAUGGUCACCAGGUGGCAUUUCACCCCUUUUGGACACCUUUGAUUGCAUGUUGCUCUACGACUUCACAAUAAAUGUGAAAUAU